GACGAACGCUGGCGGCGUGCUUAACACAUGCAAGUCGAACGGGCCCGCCCCUGUUUUUGGGGGUGGGUUGAGUGGCGAACGGGUGAGUAUCACGUGAGUAACCUGCCCCCUGCUCCUGGAUAACUGCUUGAAAGGGCGGCUAAUACGGGGUGUGCCGGCUGGUCCGCAUGGGCCUGGUCGGGAUAGUUUCAUCUUCGGGUGUUUCGGUGGGGGAUGGGCUCGCUGCCUAUCAGCUUGUUGGUGGGGUGAUGGCCCACCAAGGCGGUGACGGGUAGCCGGCCUGAGAGGGUGGGCGGCCACACUGGGACUGAGACACGGCCCAGACUCCUGCGGGAGGAAGCAGUGGGGGGUAUUGCACAAUGGGCGGAAGCCUGAUGCAGCGACGUCGCGUGAGGGAUGGAGGCCUUCGGGUUGUGAAGCUCUUUCUCCGGUGGUGAAGGCCCUGUCCGUUGCGGCGGGGUUGACGGUAGCCGGGUAUGAAGCGCCGGCUAACUACGUG
RNAcentral lists this ribosomal RNA (499 nucleotides) under uncultured bacterium. RNAcentral describes it as "partial 16S ribosomal RNA". It matches the Rfam family "Bacterial small subunit ribosomal RNA", at positions 28 to 507 of the family's 1533-position model. The record is from RNAcentral.